CGUAGGGUGCGAGCGUUAAUCGGAAUUACUGGGCGUAAAGCGUGCGCAGGCGGUUUGGUAAGACAGAUGUGAAAUCCCCGGGCUUAACCUGGGAAUUGCAUUUGUGACUGCCCGGCUAGAGUGUGUCAGAGGGGGGUAGAAUUCCACGUGUAGCAGUGAAAUGCGUAGAUAUGUGGAGGAAUACCGAUGGCGAAGGCAGCCCCCUGGGAUAACACUGACGCUCAUGCACGAAAGCGUGGGGAGCAAACAGGAUUAGAUACCCUGGUAGUCCACGCCCUAAACGAUGUCUACUAGUUGUCGGGUCUUAAUUGACUUGGUAACGCAGCUAACGCGUGAAGUAGACCGCCUGGGGAGUACGGUCGCAAGAUUA
RNAcentral lists this ribosomal RNA (370 nucleotides) under uncultured organism. RNAcentral describes it as "bacterial SSU rRNA". It matches the Rfam family "Bacterial small subunit ribosomal RNA", at positions 526 to 896 of the family's 1533-position model. The record is from RNAcentral.